Molecule: long non-coding RNA, 1290 nt
Organism: Cyprinus carpio carpio
Lineage: Eukaryota; Metazoa; Chordata; Actinopteri; Cypriniformes; Cyprinidae
Source: Ensembl
CUGAUAAACUGAUAUAUACUUGCUCUCUCAGUGCUCAGUUUUCGAGGAAACACUUGACUGCUUCUUUAUUUUGCUCACAGAGAGUCGGGCAGAAGCUCAUUUCUGCCGAAGCCUUCUGAUGAAUCCUCAGCGUGUUGGUCUGUACUCCACCGUAACCACCCUUGACUUUAUCGCCCACAUCCUCUCAGCUGUGCACUGAUAAGGGUGAUAUGUACUUGGAAUUGCACGAGUUGCAUUGGUGUCUCGAUGGUAAAGUAUCACUCAAAAAAUGGACUCACUCUUAGAAGCUCCAAGUUGACAAAUUGAACAAGACUCUACUUGUCAUUUCUCUAUAUUUGUACUCCUGGGCUUUGAAAGUUUCUUUUUCAGUGUCUUUCUAUUUCUCCUUUAUUCCCGAGGUCAGUUGAUAGAAGUUGCGGCCUUCGCUGUGAGGAAACGAGUGCCUGCUGCAAUAUUAAAGCAGAGCAAUUAGGCACCUGAAGCCCAAUGCUAAUGCAAGCAUGACACAAUUACACAAAUGAGGUGUUCGCACAUUAGAAACCAGAAAGUCACUCUUCCUCCUCGAUUUAUUCAUCUGCUCAAUGAAUGAGAGUGCCGGGAAACAAUAAAAAGGUGGAAGGGGAGACAGAACCCAAGUGUGGAGGACUGUCCAGCACUACUCUUUCAUUUUAAUUGGUACUAGAAAAAAAUGGCCUGCUAAUCAAGCGAAAAACAAUAACUGCAGACGGGUUUGGAACAACAAGAGGCAUGCGGCCAAAUAAACCCAGGGUUCCUUCUCUCUGAAAGCCAACCAAUCAGGAGAAAACCGAUCUGUUGUCUGAUUUGAAGGCUGAGGCUGGGAAAAUUGGCCUCAGUGUCUCAAAGGUCGUUCAGACUGCUCCAUUUAACAGCGAGGACCACUAGAGUCAUGUUCAACAAACAAAUCAAAUGUUUAUUCUGUUUGGAGUGUGGUCCAGUGAAGUGGCGGUGCCCUAUUGAGACGGAGUGCUGGGUAAUUGCACCUCUCAGUGUUCUGUUUCUCUCUGAGGUUUGGAGUGAGUGAUGAGAUUGUUGACCGUGGUGUUUCCUGGUGCCGCUAUUGUAUUGACCUGUGGAUAGAUAAACGAGCGGGGAAAGCCUUGUUUGCUGUGUUGGUCAUGCUUAUUUUUUUGUUUUUGCUUUCUUUUGCCAUGACAACUGUCCACUAGCUCCUUGUCAGUUGCUCAAUUACCACAUCACAUGGGUCGCUGGAGGCAGGAGAAACAAACAUAUCACACUAUUAUUAGUGUGUUGAGUGCCUUGUAAUAAUUU